CCGCCCGGACGCCAUUACAGUCAGCCUGAAUCAAACAGCAGCUUCACCUCUCAGAACGUGGAGCAGAGCACAGAGAAAAGAUCAAAGCCAUAGUGAGCGAGCACAACAUGCAUGUAAAGAGGCUGGUGGGGCAAAUAAAAUGGGUUAAUUGGAAGGAAGUGCACUACUCCAGUGCCUUUUUAAUCCCAUCUUUAUGAAUGCUAUCAGAGAAAUUGCUGCUCUCCUGGGAUUUUUACACACAAUAUUCUCUAGAGUUUACACAGUAUGGUACCAAAAACAAUCCAGUGAUGCAAGGAGACACAGCCUGUUGAUGAGAAAGGGUAGAGGAGAAUGGCCAAAUUGGUUCAAGCUGACAGGAAGGUUACAGUAACUCAAAUAACUACACUGUACAACCAUGUUGAGCAGAAAAGCAUCUCAGAAUGCACAAUACGUCAAACAAAGAGGCGGAUGAACUACAACAGCAGAAGACCAAACCGGGUUCCACUCGUGUCAGUCGAACAAGAAUCUGAGACUACAGCUGAAGACUGGAAAAAUGUUACUGGUCUUUUUCCAGUCUUCAAUUUUGACAUUAUGGAUAUUUAAAAUGCUAUCAUGGUUCAAGUAAAGUGAAUAUGUUAAAAUGUUCCUCAUAGUAAGCUGUAAGACACUAUUAACUUUUAUUUUUGUAAUUUAAUAUGGUUAACACUUAAGUCCAGAUUAAUUACAAAAACACAUUCAUGUAAUUAAUAAUAAAGGCAUAUUACAAUAAAAUGAUAUGUAGGUACUGCAUGUGUCCUUGUCAUUUCUGGAAGCACUUAAUAAUGACACUUUAAAUGUUGAUAAUGUUUUUAUAAUUGUUAAUGAAUAUUACAGUUGAUUUAUAAGUAUGUAGUAAACUACUAAAUAUUAUAAUGAAUAGUCACAUUUGUAUUGCAACAUUAUUGUAAUCAAUAAAUUAUUUUACAGCUAUUGCAGCAAUGAAUUAUUUAUAGUAUUUAUAAGCGCUAUAAGAUUCACAUCACUAUAUACCAAUGGAUUGUUUAUAGCACGUUAUUAGAACUUAAUGAGGCAUCAUUAGAGUUUAUAAAAAUGCUUAGCAACCUAUAAAGAAUUAUAAGCACAGUUAUAAUGGUGUUUAUAUCAGGUGUUGCUAAAUAUAUUUCAGGUGAUACAGGUAUAGCGAAGGAACUGGAUUUACCUUUUAUACAUUUGGGAACAUAACUCCAUAUUAUGUGUGUUCAUUGUGUCUCCUCCUGAGUACUGCUCUAUUUGUAAGUGUGUCUUCUCUCUCACUGUACACUGUAGUGACAGCAUUUUCCUAUUAUGUUCAUAUGCAUCAUACUGAAUUCAUUUGUGUAAUUUGUGUGUGCAGCAUUUGGAAGCAUGGACCGAGACCACACCUAAAGCCAAAAUGCUGCCUCUCAUUUUUCAUCCCCUCUAUCAAUAUUUCCUGCCAGUGUCAACACAAAUAUCGAUUAUGCAAGGGGACAUUCAUCAUCUUUUAUUUAUUUUCACAAUUAUAGUAAAACAUAGUUAAUACAUGAAAUGAAAGUCUCAGAAUGAAACAAAACAUAGUGUUCACUUACUUGAGGGUAUGAUAUAGAAUCAUCACUUUGAUAAGUACCAUAUCCCAAUCUACUGUCUUGUCUUGUCUAUUGCUCCAUCUUAAUAAUGGUCCUCUCCAUGUCCUGCACUCACCACUCACCCAUACUAAUCAAUACAAAGUACAACACAUCUGAAAACAUGAAUAAAAUAAAAAAAUAAAAAACACUAUUUUUAUUAUGUAUCUACAAUAGUACUCAAAAGCAUCAUCAUGCCUUAAAGUAAAAAAAAAAACAAAAAAAAAA
This is a long non-coding RNA of Ictalurus punctatus (channel catfish), 1826 nucleotides long. RefSeq lists it as uncharacterized. The record is from RefSeq and is a predicted model, not a curated record. The transcript is spliced from 2 exons. Lineage: Eukaryota; Metazoa; Chordata; Actinopteri; Siluriformes; Ictaluridae.